AAGUCGUAACAAGGUUUCCGUAGGUGAACCUGCGGAAGGAUCAUUAGUGAUUGACCUUUGGGUCUUAUCUUAACAUCCCAUACCUCUGUGAACCGUUUGACCUCUGGGUCUUACAACUAUACAAACAUCAGUGUAAAGAACGUCUUGUUAUUUUAACAAAAACAAAACUUUCAACAACGGAUCUCUUGGCUCUC
This 194-nucleotide unclassified non-coding RNA is filed under the name fungal sp. Its description in RNAcentral is "partial internal transcribed spacer region". The stretch from base 1 to 46 matches the Rfam family "Eukaryotic small subunit ribosomal RNA", at positions 1786 to 1831 of the family's 1831-position model. The record is from RNAcentral. Lineage: Eukaryota; Fungi.